This 862-nucleotide long non-coding RNA is filed under the name Triticum aestivum (bread wheat). RNAcentral's name for it is "long non-coding RNA (TAES_LNC024239)". Lineage: Eukaryota; Viridiplantae; Streptophyta; Magnoliopsida; Poales; Poaceae. The record is from RNAcentral.
UAGAGGUCAGUCAGAGGUGGUAAUUAUUAGUGGCAAAAAAGAGGCGGUAAUUAUUACACUCUUUAUUUGCAAAAAAUGAGACUGAAACAAUGCUAAUUGCGUAUGUUUUGUACUUGUAGGAAGGCUAUGAAGGAAGUGUUCUUCCCUUAUUUUUUAUGAAGGUAAGGUCUUGUUCUUGGAUUCCUACUGCUCUAGAUUGCUUGGCUGCUCUAAUUUAUCACUUCAUGGCCUUACGCUCCACCAUUAUCUUUGAACACUUGAUACUUAUUUACUUUUCUUUGUUGGCUUCUUUUUGAUAGUCAUCUGAUUGAAAAAUGCCAGCGUGUGCCACUUUAGUAUCUUUCAGUUUCAACAAACAUAUUGGAUUAUCUUGACAUACGUUGGCAUUGAGAAGAUAAUAUAGAUUGUCACUAUUAAUUUCAAUGUUCACGCUCCAUCCUAUUUAAAUUCCAAUUUGGAUGGAAGUCAACACACUAAGAGAUGUAUGCUUGAUGAAUGAUGUUCACAGCAAUUACUUGAAUUUCUUGGUUUCCGCGGUAUAGUUAUGCAGGUUAAGUUCUGUUUGCUCUUGCAUUCACUUGUGCAGACUGAUGGUUAAUUGUGAACUAUGUAUAUUCUGUAGGUUCUUCUUAGUGAGAUCAAACUAAGCACAAUCGUAUUUUCUCGAAUUAUACACAUGCUAUGAUUUUCAUGCUCUCUGUAGUAAUUAUGUUGAAUUCUCAUAAUUCCUUUUGCAUUAUUAUGCCAAACAAUUUGUAUGCUAAAAACAUACUUCAAUAUCCCAUCUCCCCAUGUCGUCCCGGUUUGUUCUAGCUGGGCACUGCCUCGGCUGCAAAGCGUGUGUUGUCCCAUGAAGCAGGCC